RNAcentral lists this non-coding RNA (127 nucleotides) under Planomonospora parontospora subsp. sphaerica. The record is from RNAcentral. Lineage: Bacteria; Bacillati; Actinomycetota; Actinomycetes; Streptosporangiales; Streptosporangiaceae.
UGAGGAAGCCGGUGUGAAUCCGGCGCGGUCCCGCCACUGUGAUCGGCGAGCGGAUCCCCACCACGCCACCGCCCCUGCCCGGGGUGGGAAGGCGGGGACGAGCAGCGACCCGAGAGCCAGGAGACUC